UACGGAGGAUGCAAGCGUUAUCCGGAAUGAUUGGGCGUAAAGCGUCCGCAGGUGGCUGUGUAAGUCUGCUGUUAAAGAGUGAGGCUCAACCUCAUAAAAGCAGUGGAAACUACACGGCUAGAGUGCGUUCGGGGCAGAGAGAAUUCCUGGUGUAGCGGUGAAAUGCGUAGAUAUCAGGAAGAACACCGGUGGCGAAAGCGCUCUGCUAGGCCGCAACUGACACUGAGGGACGAAAGCUAGGGGAGCGAAUGGG
RNAcentral lists this ribosomal RNA (253 nucleotides) under uncultured bacterium. RNAcentral describes it as "partial 16S ribosomal RNA". It matches the Rfam family "Bacterial small subunit ribosomal RNA", at positions 524 to 776 of the family's 1533-position model. The record is from RNAcentral.